Molecule: long non-coding RNA, 1323 nt
Filed under: Homo sapiens (human)
Lineage: Eukaryota; Metazoa; Chordata; Mammalia; Primates; Hominidae
Description: HSALNT0341111
Source: RNAcentral
GAAUCAUGUGAGACAAGGGUGGUGGCCGCUCUGGAGGUGCCUGGGGGGUUCCCUCAUUACCCCUCUGGGCUUAGUCCAUCCUCCACACUGUUGUGCAGCUUCUCCACCUCCUGGUAGAGGAUAAAUACUGUUACCCUUAUCCCUGGUCACAUCCAGGGAGACGCGUCCAGCGGCCAGGCGGGGACAGUGCCGUUCUAGAGGUCCUUGAGCCCCUCCUUCCUCAGGAUCUGCAGCCAUAGGCCGGUGUGUUCCGCGUUUGUGCUGCUCCAGGCCCCGCAUCCGGUCUCGAUCCCAUCCAGAGGAGCGUUUCCCAAGACACUGGCUGCGCCCACAAUGGCUCCGAAGACCCCAGCGACCAGCGGGUCCAUGGGCUUGCUGGGGUUGUCCCCUCGGUACCAGCUGUGCAGGGAGGUCAGGAGGAGAAGCAGACGGCCUGGUUCCAGCCCUGCUUUAGCGUGGGUGCCAUGAGGCCCCGGUGAGUCCCCUUGUUCUCGCACAAUCUCUCUAACCUGGUGGGAGACUCCUCUGCACUGGAGGUCUGGGAAGGUCUGGCCGUGGAUGAACUUCACCUUGAUGGUGUCCAUGGAACAUACGACCACCAUGGCCUCGGCCACGCCAGCGCCCUGGCCGCACCGCAGCCAGCGCUGCCGUCAGGCCGUCCCUGGGCAUCCCGCGUCUGGCUGCUGUGGAACUGGAACAUUCAGAACCCAACGCCGCCCUGGAGACAAGAGCCGCAGAGCAGGGAGCCGAGGCCGCGGUGCCGGCCCGGGACGCCAUGACCGCGACAGUGCGCACGCGGGAUCCAUGCGCGGUGCCCGGCUGGUGCCAGCGCUCGUCCGGCUGCAGCUACGACCUCCCGCGCUCCGUGGGGAGCGGACGCCCAUUUCAAUGCCGCCGGCCAGGCCGCCUGCUGGUGUCGCCUUCCCCGGAGCCUCCGCUGGGCCUUCCCGGACGCGGCGCGGCGUGGCCACGGCGGGCGGGAGGCGGGCGCCCGCUGUGAUCUGAAGUCCCAGCCUCCUAAACUCCGCACUGGGACCUUAAUUUGGUUUUAACACAAAUGAAGAUCUCACUAAAGAUAAAAAGGGAUGUCUUGGCUUCUAAUUUUUGUUAAAAGCAAUAGCAUAUGUUGUAUAGGAUAGUGCAUUGGGACGUUUAAAGUAUUGCUGUGUGUUUCAAGUGGAGGAGGUCAUAUUACAACUGACAUUUGUCCUUGACUACUGGACAUAUCACACCAGCCCUGAUUGCAGUUAUACUUGAAGCCAGAUCUACCCUUAACGUAUAUUCAUUUUACUAUUCAAUAAAUAUUAACUUAUCAUGAAUGGU